ACAAACACUAGCCCGAACAACACAAAAUAUAAUUAACAACACCAAAUAAAACAAAACAUUUAUACAAAUAAAAGUAUAGGAGAU
Molecule: ribosomal RNA, 84 nt
Filed under: Boneia bidens (Manado fruit bat)
Lineage: Eukaryota; Metazoa; Chordata; Mammalia; Chiroptera; Pteropodidae
Description: partial 16S ribosomal RNA
Source: RNAcentral